Molecule: non-coding RNA, 46 nt
Organism: Schistosoma curassoni
Lineage: Eukaryota; Metazoa; Platyhelminthes; Trematoda; Strigeidida; Schistosomatidae
Source: Rfam
GCACUGCUGAGGAGUCCCACAAUAGGACAAAACAGCCGUCCAGUGC